UAGGGAAUAUUGGUUAAUGUGCGAAAGCGCGAACCAGCAACGCCGCGUGUGCGAUGAAGGCCUUCGGGUCGUAAAGCACUUUUUGCAGGGACGAGGAAGGACGGUACCUGCAGAAUAAGUCUCGGCUAACUACGUGCCAGCAGCCGCGGUAAAACGUAGGAGACGAGCGUUAUCCGGAUUUACUGGGCGUAAAGCGCGUGCAGGCGGCAUGGCAAGUUGGAUGUGAAAGCUCCCGGCUUAACUGGGAGAGGUCGUUCAAUACUGCCAGGCGUGAGAGUGGUAGAGGGAAGUGGAAUUCCGGGUGUAGUGGUGAAAUGCGUAGAUAUCCGGAGGAACACAAGUGGCGAAAGCGGCUUACUGGCCCAUUUCUGACGCUCAGACGCGAAAGCUAGGGUAGCAAACG
Molecule: ribosomal RNA, 403 nt
Filed under: uncultured prokaryote
Description: bacterial SSU rRNA
Rfam family: Bacterial small subunit ribosomal RNA
Source: RNAcentral